This is a long non-coding RNA of Mytilus californianus (California mussel), 201 nucleotides long. RefSeq lists it as uncharacterized. The record is from RefSeq and is a predicted model, not a curated record. NCBI's taxonomy places the organism in Eukaryota, Metazoa, Mollusca, Bivalvia, Mytilida, Mytilidae. The transcript has 2 exons.
CAUUGCUAUGUCUGGGUAUAAUGUAUGUGUAAAGAGUUGUAAGGGUAGAUAUGUGCAUGGACAAAUAAAAUUAACAUCUGGUUUCAAGGGACAUAAUUUUAAGGUCUGAAAUGUGCACUUUUUUUUUAUUUUUUCACAAAAAAAUUGGUGAAAAAUACCCAUUUACAUGAAAAACAAGUGCAAAAUAAACAAAACAACAAA